This 253-nucleotide ribosomal RNA is filed under the name uncultured bacterium. RNAcentral describes it as "partial 16S ribosomal RNA". It matches the Rfam family "Bacterial small subunit ribosomal RNA", at positions 524 to 776 of the family's 1533-position model. The record is from RNAcentral.
UACAGAGGUCCCGAGCGUUGUUCGGAUUCACUGGGCGUAAAGGGUGCGUAGGUGGUGCGGUAAGUCGGAUGUGAAAUCUCCGAGCUCAACUCGGAAAUGGCAUUGGAAACUACCUUGCUCGAGGGUUGGUGGGGGGACUGGAAUACUUGGUGUAGCAGUGAAAUGCGUAGAUAUCAAGUGGAACACCAGUGGCGAAGGCGAGUCCCUGGACAACUCCUGACACUGAGGCACGAAAGCUAGGGGAGCAAACAGG